RNAcentral lists this ribosomal RNA (902 nucleotides) under uncultured crenarchaeote. Its description in RNAcentral is "bacterial SSU rRNA". It matches the Rfam family "Archaeal small subunit ribosomal RNA", at positions 25 to 913 of the family's 1478-position model. The record is from RNAcentral. Lineage: Archaea; Thermoproteati; Thermoproteota.
GACUGCUAUUUGGGUGAGGAUAAGCCAUGCGAGUUGUAUGGGAUCCCUAAAGUUCCCAUAGCAAACUGCUCAGUAACACAUGAUCAACUUGCCCUAUGGAGAGCACUAACCUCGGGAAACUGAGGAUAAUGGCUCAUACUUGAUUAGGCUUGGAAAAGUUUUUCAAUGAAAGGCGUAAGAAAAAUGGUUCUUAUGCGCCAUAGGAUAGGAUCGUGCUCGAUUAUGGUAGUUGGUGAGGUAACGGCUCACCAAGCCGAUAAUCGAUAGGGGCCGUGAGAGCGGUUGCCCCGAGAUGGGUACUGAGACAGCGACCCAGGCCUUACGAGGCGCAGCAGGCGCGAGACCUCCGCAAUACACGCAAGUGUGACGGGGUUACCCAAAGUGUCCUUAUUGGACUGUGGCGGGUGAGUAAUGUUCCCCGCUAGAAAGGAGAGGGCAAGGCUGGUGCCAGCCGCCGCGGUAAAACCAGCUCUUCAAGUGGUCGGGAUAAUUAUUGGGCUUAAAGUGUCCGUAGCCGGUUUAGUAAGUUCCUGGUAAAACCGGGCAGCUUAACUGUCCGUAUGCUAGGAAUACUGCUAUGCUAGAGGGCGGGAGAGGUCUGAGGUACUACAGGGGUAGGGGUGAAAUCUUAUAAUCCUUGUAGGACCACCAGUGGCGAAAGCGUCAGACUGGAACGCGCCUGACGGUGAGGGACGAAAGCCAGGGGAGCGAACCGGAUUAGAUACCCGGGUAGUCCUGGCCGUAAACGAUGCAUACUAGGCAAUGGUGCGGCCAUGAGCCGCAUCAGUACCGUAGGGAAACCGUUAAGUGUGCCGCCUGGGAAGUACGGUCGCAAGGCUAAAACUUAAAGGAAUUGGCGGGGGAGCACCACAAGGGGUGAAGCCUGCGGUUCAAUUGGAUUC